AUUGAACGCUGGCGGCGUGCCUAACACAUGCAAGUCGAGCGGUAACAGGUGUAGCAAUACAUGCUGACGAGCGGCGGACGGGUGAGUAACGCUUGGGAAUCUGCCUGUUAGUGGGGGACGAACCCGGGAAACGUACGGCGUAAUACCGCAUACGCACUACGGUGGAAAGACCGGGACCGCAAGGCCUGGCGCUAACAGAUGAGCCCAAGUCGGAUUAGCUAGUUGGUAGGGUAACGGCCACCAAGGCGACGAUCCGUAACCUGGUCUGAGAGGACGACCAGUCACACCGGAACCUGAGACACGGUCCGGACUCCUACGGGAGGCAGCAGUGGGGAAUAUUGGACAAUAGGGCGAAAGACCUGAUCCAGCGACGCCGCGUGGGUGAAGAAGGCCUGCGGGUUGU
RNAcentral lists this ribosomal RNA (403 nucleotides) under uncultured bacterium. RNAcentral describes it as "bacterial SSU rRNA". It matches the Rfam family "Bacterial small subunit ribosomal RNA", at positions 29 to 426 of the family's 1533-position model. The record is from RNAcentral.